UAAGUUAACUGCCACCACGGUGUUAGAUGCAUCUGCCUCCUGCUAUGUCAUUGUGAAGAUCCGUGCUGGAGCUGAUGGACCUUCACCUCUGAAACCCGCUGAAGAAGAGGCUGACCCUCUCCCUCUACCUCUGCCACUGGCCUGAGUCGUGGCUGGAGCUGCUGGCUGCGCUACACUACCUGAAGCUGCUGCUGGGACUGAGCCAUCGGAACUGCUCUUGGACACUCUCGAGCCAUAUGUCCCUCCUUACCGCAUCUGAAACAGGC
Molecule: long non-coding RNA, 266 nt
Filed under: Manihot esculenta (cassava)
Lineage: Eukaryota; Viridiplantae; Streptophyta; Magnoliopsida; Malpighiales; Euphorbiaceae
Description: long non-coding RNA (MESC_LNC007420)
Source: RNAcentral